ACUCUUUUAUUCCCAGUGAAAGCACUUUAAUUUCUGCAUUUAACCUGGGAGUUAGACAUGGGGAUUCUGAGCUCCAUCUUCUAUAAAUAUUGUGGUCAUGCCGCCUGGUUUGUAGCACUUUGUUAUUGGGAGUUUUAAAGGCCAAUUAGAAUUCCACUUCUCGAUCCUCUUAGGAUUUCUUAAAUCUCUGGGCAGAUUUGCAGAAUUGUUCAUAAGCAAUCCAUUGUUUCCAGACCACUGUUUCUGACUGCUUUCUCAGAAAAGUAUGUUUCUAGGAAACAAAAACCAAAUUUAAAAUUGAAACAAUUAAACGGAACACAGGUGAGGAGAUCUUUCUACAGGUCUUUUUUCAUGCCAAAAUCUGGUUCAUUUAAAGUUUGCAGUGUUAUCUGUGGCAUUUCCAGUUCCCAGCUGCAGUUCAUGAGGCGUUCUGCUGUUCUUGCAGGGACAAGCAUUCUUUCUUGAGUAAGAAGUUAACUCAGGAGGCAGGCACGGCUCACACCUGUAAUCCCAGCUACUUGGGAGGCUAAGGCCAGAGGACUGCUUGAGGCCAAGAGUUCGAGACCAGCCUGGGCAACAUAGCGAGACUCUCAUCUCUUAAAAAACAAAAAAAAAAAAAAAAGAAAGAAAGAAAAAGAAAGAAAAAAAAUUAGCGAGGUGUGGUGGCACAUGCCUGUAGUCCUAGCACUUGGAGCCUAAGCUGGGAGGGUCUCUUGAGCCCACGAGUUCGAGGCUGCAGUGAGUUAUGAUCGUGCCACUGCACUUCACUGCACGUAGCAGGGGGU
Molecule: long non-coding RNA, 785 nt
Filed under: Homo sapiens (human)
Lineage: Eukaryota; Metazoa; Chordata; Mammalia; Primates; Hominidae
Description: HSALNT0027492
Source: RNAcentral